RNAcentral lists this ribosomal RNA (1498 nucleotides) under Clostridioides difficile. RNAcentral describes it as "bacterial SSU rRNA". It matches the Rfam family "Bacterial small subunit ribosomal RNA". Lineage: Bacteria; Bacillati; Bacillota; Clostridia; Peptostreptococcales; Peptostreptococcaceae. The record is from RNAcentral.
UUUUAUUUGAGAGUUUGAUCCUGGCUCAGGAUGAACGCUGGCGGCGUGCCUAACACAUGCAAGUUGAGCGAUUUACUUCGGUAAAGAGCGGCGGACGGGUGAGUAACGCGUGGGUAACCUACCCUGUACACACGGAUAACAUACCGAAAGGUAUGCUAAUACGGGAUAACAUAUUUGAGAGGCAUCUCUUGAAUAUCAAAGGUGAGCCAGUACAGGAUGGACCCGCGUCUGAUUAGCUAGUUGGUAAGGUAACGGCUUACCAAGGCGACGAUCAGUAGCCGACCUGAGAGGGUGAUCGGCCACAUUGGAACUGAGACACGGUCCAAACUCCUACGGGAGGCAGCAGUGGGGAAUAUUGCACAAUGGGCGAAAGCCUGAUGCAGCAACGCCGCGUGAGUGAUGAAGGCCUUCGGGUCGUAAAACUCUGUCCUCAAGGAAGAUAAUGACGGUACUUGAGGAGGAAGCCCCGGCUAACUACGUGCCAGCAGCCGCGGUAAUACGUAGGGGGCUAGCGUUAUCCGGAUUUACUGGGUGUAAAGGGUGCGUAGGCGGUCUUUCAAGUCAGGAGUGAAAGGCUACGGCUCAACCGUAGUAAGCUCUUGAAACUGGGAGACUUGAGUGCAGGAGAGGAGAGUGGAAUUCCUAGUGUAGCGGUGAAAUGCGUAGAUAUUAGGAGGAACACCAGUUGCGAAGGCGGCUCUGGACUGUAACUGACGCUGAGGCACGAAGCGGGGAAACAGGAUUAGAUACCCUGGUAGUCCACGCUGUAAACGAUGAGUACUAGGUGUCGGGGGUUACCCCUCGGUGCCGCAGCUAACGCAUUGAGUACUCCGCCUGGGAAGUACGCUCGCAAGAGUGAAACUCAAAGGAAUUGACGGGGACCCGCACAAGUAGCGGAGCAUGUGGUUUAAUUCGAAGCAACGCGAAAGAACCUUACCUAGCUUGACAUCCCAAUGACAUCUCCUUAAUCGGAGAGUUCCCUUCGGGGACAUUGGUGACAGGUGGUGCAUGGUUGUCGUCAGCUCGUGUCGUGAGAUGUUGGGUUAAGUCCCGCAACGAGCGCAACCCGCUGUCUUUAGUUGCCAUCAUUAAGUUGGGCACUCUAGAGAGACUGCCAGGGAUAACCUGGAGGAAGGUGGGGAUGACGUCAAAUCAUCAUGCCCCUUAUGCUUAGGGCUACACACGUGCUACAAUGGGUAGUACAGAGGGUUGCCAAACCGUAAGGUGGAGCUAAUCCCUUAAAGCUACUCUCAGUUCGGAUUGUAGGCUGAAACUCGCCUACAUGAAGCUGGAGUUACUAGUAAUCGCAGAUCAGAAUGCUGCGGUGAAUGCGUUCCCGGGUCUUGUACACACCGCCCGUCACACCACGGGAGUUGGAGACGCCCGAAGCCGAUUAUCUAACCUUUUGGAAGAAGUCGUCGAAGGUGGAAUCAAUAACUGGGGUGAAGUCGUAACAAGUAGCCGUAUCGGAAGGUGCGGCUGGAUCACCUCCUUUCUA